CAGCAGCCGCGGUAAUACGAAGGGUGCAAGCGUUAAUCGGAAUUACUGGGCGUAAAGCGCGCGUAGGUGGUUCAGUAAGUUGGAAGUGAAAUCCCCGGGCUCAACCUGGGAACUGCUUUCAAAACUGCUGAGCUAGAGUACGGUAGAGGGUGGUGGAAUUUCCUGUGUAGCGGUGAAAUGCGUAGAUAUAGGAAGGAACACCAGUGGCGAAGGCGACCACCUGGACUGAUACUGACACUGAGGUGCGAAAGCGUGGGGAGCAAACAGGAUUAGAUACCCCUGUAGUCCCUGUCUCUUAUAC
Molecule: ribosomal RNA, 301 nt
Filed under: uncultured bacterium
Lineage: Bacteria
Description: partial 16S ribosomal RNA
Rfam family: Bacterial small subunit ribosomal RNA
Source: RNAcentral